GUCGCCAUAGCUCAGCUGGGAGAGCGCCGGUCUGUCGAACCGGAGGUCGCGGGAUCGAGGCCCGCUGGCGGCGCCA
This 76-nucleotide transfer RNA is filed under the name Burkholderiales bacterium. RNAcentral's name for it is "tRNA-Asp". It matches the Rfam family "tRNA". From Rfam's summary of the family: Transfer RNA (tRNA) molecules are approximately 80 nucleotides in length. The record is from RNAcentral. Lineage: Bacteria; Pseudomonadati; Pseudomonadota; Betaproteobacteria; Burkholderiales.